Long non-coding RNA from Centruroides sculpturatus (bark scorpion), 257 nucleotides. RefSeq lists it as uncharacterized. NCBI's taxonomy places the organism in Eukaryota, Metazoa, Arthropoda, Arachnida, Scorpiones, Buthidae. The transcript is spliced from 3 exons. The record is from RefSeq and is a predicted model, not a curated record.
GAAAAAUAUUCCAAUAUCGUAAAGGCGAUGGACUUUUUUUUAUGGGAGAUCCUUCUUCAAGGCUUCACGAUGAUCGAAUCGUUUUUCUUCUACAGUGGUUUUAUGGUUAUGUAUUUGAGACAAAAGCGUGGAAACAACUCUGUGAAGCACUAUAUCAUGCCUUUAGUCAAGAAAAUUUUCAGAUUCACUUUUCCGGUAAUCUUUGUUUUGGGCUUUGCAAUUCUUCUGCCUCUACUCGGAGAUGGUCCUCAUUGGCA